RNAcentral lists this ribosomal RNA (501 nucleotides) under uncultured bacterium. Its description in RNAcentral is "bacterial SSU rRNA". It matches the Rfam family "Bacterial small subunit ribosomal RNA", at positions 8 to 526 of the family's 1533-position model. The record is from RNAcentral.
AGAGUUUGAUCAUGGCUCAGAAUGAACGUUGGCGGCGUGGAUUAGGCAUGCAAGUCGUACGCUUUAUGUAGCAAUACAUGAAGAGUGGCGUAAGGGAGAGUAAUGCAUGGUUAGCUACCCUGGGGACUGGGAUAGCGGCGGGAAACUGCCGGUAAUACCAGAUGAUAUCUUCGGAUCAAACGUGUAAAUCGGCCCUAGGAGGUGACCAUGUCCUAUCAGCUAGUUGGCGGUGUAACGGACCACCAAGGCGAAGACGGGUAUGGGGCGUGAGAGCGUGCCCCCACUCACUGGGACUGAGACACUGCCCAGACACCUACGGGUGGCUGCAGUCGAGAAUCUUCGGCAAUGGGCGCAAGCCUGACCGAGCGACGCCGCGUGCGGGAUGAAGGCCUUCGGGUUGUAAGCCGCUGUCGUAGGGGAGGAAGGUUUGGUGUAUAGCCAAGCUUGACCGAUCCUAAGAGGAAGGGCCGGCUAAUCUCGUGCCAGCCGCCGCGGUAAUAC